RNAcentral lists this long non-coding RNA (507 nucleotides) under Trifolium pratense (red clover). Its description in RNAcentral is "long non-coding RNA (TPRA_LNC011366)". Lineage: Eukaryota; Viridiplantae; Streptophyta; Magnoliopsida; Fabales; Fabaceae. The record is from RNAcentral.
UUUAGCCUACUAUCCAAAAAUAUAUAUCCCACCUUCACCUAAGCCCCGUUAUAACCUGAAAAGUCAUCUAAAAGUGUAUGCAUAAUUAUUUUGUGAUUGCUGUAUAGAAUUUUUUCAAGCUUAUGGUAGGCGGAUGCAUGAUCUAGGAUUUGAGUGAUAUUCUUAACCCUUAAACACUUGAGAGAAUUUUGUGAGAUUGUGUGAAGAGAGAGAUAUGAGUUUGAUGGAUAAGUGUUGAAUGAAUUGCAUUGUGUUCCUGAUCGAUUGUUUGUGGAUGAAAGUGACAUUGAGUAUGAUGUUUUUGCUUGUUGACAUGUUUGCUAAUAUUGAUUAUGAAGAUAGAUUGACAGGAAAGUUUGGUCAUGUGUUUGAAGUUCAAUUGCACACUCACUUUUUGAAGCUUUGUUCCUUGAGGACAAGUAACAGAUUAAGUUUGGGGUUGUGAUGAUCUCUCGUCAAAUGUAGUUUUUAGAGUCUUUUUAAUUAAGUUUUAGUUUAUUUUUAUUA